This 26-nucleotide ribosomal RNA is filed under the name Alternaria sp. CNU 104066. Its description in RNAcentral is "partial 28S ribosomal RNA". Lineage: Eukaryota; Fungi; Ascomycota; Dothideomycetes; Pleosporales; Pleosporaceae. The record is from RNAcentral.
ACUUUGACCUCGGAUCAGGUAGGGAU